Molecule: long non-coding RNA, 357 nt
Filed under: Bos taurus (domestic cattle)
Lineage: Eukaryota; Metazoa; Chordata; Mammalia; Artiodactyla; Bovidae
Description: long non-coding RNA NONBTAT024567
Source: RNAcentral
UUAGAGAAAGAUGCUUUCCAAAUUACCAGUUUUUUAAAACUAAUACACCUCUUCAUCAUUUUGUGAUUCUGCUGGACAACUAGUGUUUUACAUGGAUCUCUUAAUCUUUAGAAAUUCUGGCUUAGAGUCCUAGACUCAGAGUGUACACGAGCAAACAUUUCAUCCAAGAUUUCUGGAUGAUUUCUAUGAUGAUUCCGUUGGGUACCAGCUGCCUCUGAACACAGAUCUGCCUGAUGGAGUCAUAGGCACACUCCUUGAAAACCACAGAACACUCAAAAUGACAAUCAUCAGGACGGAAAUACCUAGAAGAAAACAAGCCAAGGCCAAUUACAGCAUCUUGGAUUUGAAUGACUACAU